UCAGAACGAACGCUGGCGGCGCGUCUAAGCAUGCAAGUCGAACGGCAAGAGGUAGCAAUACCUCCUAGAGUGGCGGACUGGUGAGUAACACGUGGUGACAUACCCUUCAGAUGGGGAUAGCUAUUAGAAAUAGUAGAUAAUACCGAAUACGAGCACAGGGGUUAGAGAUCUGUGAGGAAAGGAGCUAAGGCUCCGCUGAAGGAAUGGCCUGCGGCCCAUUAGCUAGUUGGUGAGGUAAGAGCCCACCAAGGCGAUGAUGGGUAUCCGGCCUUAGAGGGUGAACGGACACAUUGGGACUGAGAUACGGCCCAGACUCCUACGGGAGGCAGCAGCUAAGAAUAUUCCGCAAUGGACGAAAGUCUGACGGAGCGACGCCGCGUGGAUGAAGAAGGCCGGAAGGUUGUAAAAUCCUUUUGAAACUGAAGAAUAAGCGUUGUAGGGAAUGACAGCGUGGUGACAGUAGGUUUUGAAUAAGCAACGGCUAAUUACGUGCCAGCCGCUGC
RNAcentral lists this ribosomal RNA (503 nucleotides) under uncultured bacterium. RNAcentral describes it as "bacterial SSU rRNA". It matches the Rfam family "Bacterial small subunit ribosomal RNA", at positions 24 to 518 of the family's 1533-position model. The record is from RNAcentral.